CAAAAACAUGUCCUUUUGUUUAUGAUUUAAGGUCAGGCCUGCCCAAUGAUUGUUUUAAAUGGCCGCAGUAUUUUGACUGUGCAAAGGUAGCAUAAUCAUUAGUUUCUUAAUUAGAAGCUGGAAUGAAUGGUUCGAUGAAAAAUUGACUGUCUCAAAUUAAUUGAUUUUGAAUUUUAUUUUUAAGUGAAAAAGCUUAAAUUUUUUAUGAAGACGAGAAGACCCUAUAGAGUUUUAUAUUUAUUAUUAUUAAUUUUUUAAAGUUUUUCUUAUACUUAAUAUUAUUAAAUAUUUUGUUGGGGUGACAUUAAAAUUUAAUAAACUUUUAUUUUUAAAAACAUUAAUUUAUGAUUAAAUGAUCCUAUUUUUUAGAUUAUAAGAAAAAAUUACCUUAGGGAUAACAGCGUAAUUUUUUUGGAAAGUUCUUAUUGAUAAAAAAGUUUGCGACCUCGAUGUUGGAUUAAAAUUUAGUUUAGGUGUAGAAGCUUGAAUAUUAGGUCUGUUCGACCUUUAAAAUUUUACAUGAUCU
Molecule: ribosomal RNA, 526 nt
Filed under: Artystona sp. 2 GJK-2014
Lineage: Eukaryota; Metazoa; Arthropoda; Insecta; Coleoptera; Tenebrionidae
Description: partial 16S ribosomal RNA
Rfam family: Bacterial large subunit ribosomal RNA
Source: RNAcentral